UACGAAGGGGGCUAGCGUUGUUCGGAUUUACUGGGCGUAAAGCGCACGUAGGCGGAUUCUUAAGUCAGGGGUGAAAUCCCGAGGCUCAACCUCGGAACUGCCUUUGAUACUGGGGAUCUCGAGUUCGGGAGAGGUGAGUGGAAUUGCGAGUGUAGAGGUGAAAUUCGUAGAUAUUCGCAAGAACACCAGUGGCGAAGGCGGCUCACUGGUCCGGUACUGACGCUGAGGUGCGAAAGCGUGGGGAGCAAACAGG
RNAcentral lists this ribosomal RNA (253 nucleotides) under uncultured bacterium. RNAcentral's name for it is "partial 16S ribosomal RNA". It matches the Rfam family "Bacterial small subunit ribosomal RNA", at positions 524 to 776 of the family's 1533-position model. The record is from RNAcentral.